UACGUAGGGGGCAAGCGUUGUCCGGAAUUAUUGGGCGUAAAGAGCGUGUAGGCGGUCCGGUAAGUCAGCUGUGAAAGUCAAGGGCUCAACCCUUGAAAGCCGGUUGAUACUGUCGGGCUAGAGUCCGGAAGAGGCGAGUGGAAUUCCCGGUGUAGCGGUGAAAUGCGCAGAUAUCAGGAGGAACACCGAUAGCGAAGGCAGCUCGCUGGGACGGUACUGACGCUGAGGCGCGAAAGCGUGGGGAGCGAACAGG
Molecule: ribosomal RNA, 253 nt
Filed under: uncultured bacterium
Lineage: Bacteria
Description: partial 16S ribosomal RNA
Rfam family: Bacterial small subunit ribosomal RNA
Source: RNAcentral